CCUACGGGAGGCAGCAGUGGGGAAUAUUGGACAAUGGGCGAAAGCCCGAUCCAGCAAUGCCGCGUGAGUGAUGAAGGCCUUCGGGUCGUAAAGCUCUUUUACCAGGGAUGAUAAUGACAGUACCUGGAGAAUAAGCUCCGGCUAACUCCGUGCCAGCAGCCGCGGUAAUACGGAGGGAGCUAGCGUUGUUCGGAAUUACUGGGCGUAAAGAGUACGUAGGCGGUUAUUCAAGUCAGAGGUGAAAGCCCGGGGCUCAACCCCGGAACUGCCUUUGAAACUAGAUAACUAGAGUCUUGGAGAGGUUAGUGGAAUUCCGAGUGUAGAGGUGAAAUUCGUAGAUAUUCGGAAGAACACCAGUGGCGAAGGCGACUAACUGGACAAGUACUGACGCUGAGGUACGAAAGCGUGGGGAGCAAACAGGAUUAGAUACCCUGGUAGUCCACGCCGUAAACGAUGAUAACUAGUUGUUCGGUCACUUGGUGACUGAGUGACGCAGCUAACGCAUUAAGUUAUCCGCCUGGGGAGUACGGUCGCAAGAUUAAAACUCAAAAGGAAAUUGACGGCNGAGAAGUGCGAGAGACACGAGGAGAGG
This 592-nucleotide ribosomal RNA is filed under the name uncultured bacterium. RNAcentral describes it as "bacterial SSU rRNA". It matches the Rfam family "Bacterial small subunit ribosomal RNA", at positions 338 to 944 of the family's 1533-position model. The record is from RNAcentral.